Molecule: ribosomal RNA, 207 nt
Filed under: uncultured Saccharofermentans sp.
Lineage: Bacteria; Bacillati; Bacillota; Clostridia; Eubacteriales; Oscillospiraceae
Description: partial 16S ribosomal RNA
Rfam family: Bacterial small subunit ribosomal RNA
Source: RNAcentral
CGUGUAGGCGGUUUUGCAAGUCAGAUGUGAAAUUCCCAGGCUUAACCUGGGCGCUGCAUCUGAAACUGCAAGACUUGAGUACUGGAGAGGAUAGUGGAAUUCCUAGUGUAGCGGUAAAAUGCGCAGAUAUUAGGAGGAACACCGGUGGCGAAGGCGACUAUCUGGACAGUAACUGACGCUGAGGCGCGGAAGCGUGGGGAGCAAACA